This 449-nucleotide ribosomal RNA is filed under the name uncultured bacterium. Its description in RNAcentral is "bacterial SSU rRNA". It matches the Rfam family "Bacterial small subunit ribosomal RNA", at positions 354 to 796 of the family's 1533-position model. The record is from RNAcentral.
GUGGGGAAUCUUGCGCAAUGGACGAAAGUCUGACGCAGCGACGCCGCGUGGGUGAUGAAGGCCUUCGGGUUGUAAAGCCCUGUGGGGAGGGACGAAUAAGUCAUGGCUAAUAUCCAUGGUGAUGACGGUACCUCUUUAGCAAGCACCGGCUAACUCUGUGCCAGCAGCCGCGGUAAGACAGAGGGUGCAAACGUUGUUCGGAAUUACUGGGCGUAAAGCGCGUGUAGGCGGUGCGGUAAGUCGGGUGUGAAAGCCCUGGGCUCAACCCAGGAAGUGCAUUCGAUACUACCGUACUAGAGUCCCGGAGAGGUUGGUGGAACUCUCGGUGUAGAGGUGAAAUUCGUAGAUAUCGAGAAGAACACCGGUGGCGAAGGCGGCCAACUGGACGGUGACUGACGCUGAGACGCGAAAGCGUGGGGAGCAAACAGGAUUAGAUACCCUUGUAGUCC